GGAAUGACUAUGGCAUUAAAUUCAUCGUUGCUUUCCACCUAUACAGUUCACCUACACUGCUCUGGCCCAACCCUCUGUUGCUCCAGUGGAGGUUAAUUUUGAACAUAGAGCCCACUUUUGUGUUCUUCAAGGACAAGAUGAUCUGAAACGGUUGAAGCAGAUGCCACUGCGGCCGGGAAGGAUGUCUUUGAUCUGUCAGUUCCCGCACAAGUGUUUCCACAGCAUGUGGCUGAGGAGCCCAGGCAGGCACAGAAACCGUGGUUCUCAUUUUUCUCAGGAGGAGGAAACGCUUCAUUUUUAUUCUUCAGACAAAAAGAAAGGAACAGAAAACCACCCAGUUCUUCACUCACUAACCAGCAUCACAGAUAUCUGCCGGAAAAAUGGGGUUCUGAGUCCCUCUCAACUAUCUCGAGACAAGCAGAGAGCUAUUGAGGGCUUUUUUCAAAAAUAUAUUUUCUAGAGCAAAACUUGAAAACUUCAGGUUAGGUAGUACUCAUUAGGCAUGAGAUUCGAUCAUUAGCUAUUAGAAAGUUUAGAUAAAGUUGAUAAGGAAAUCCACUGUAUUUUUAUUUGUCUUCCACAGUGCUAGAGUAGAAUAACUUGGGAUUUAGUUGAGAAGAUCCGGGCACCAUUAGCGUGAUCUUCCAAAGUGCACUGUACCACUUGCUCAACUACAUGAGUGUUGGAAAUCUGUUGGCUUCUCUGAGCUUUGAGCUCUCCAUUUAUCAAGUAAGUGGUUGUGUUAACAUCUGCCACGGAUGUUAACGUGUGUUGUGAGGACUGAAAGGAGUAAUGUAUGUAGAAGUGGUAGCCUUUGUUCUUGUGCGAAAAGUAUGCCAGGAGCCACCAGCAAAGACAACCCUUGAGAUGCUCCUCCAUUAGUAAUGGCGGAGGGUGCCCAGUGGAGCACAGUUAUGUGGCCA
Molecule: long non-coding RNA, 923 nt
Organism: Fukomys damarensis (Damara mole-rat)
Lineage: Eukaryota; Metazoa; Chordata; Mammalia; Rodentia; Bathyergidae
Source: Ensembl